RNAcentral lists this ribosomal RNA (542 nucleotides) under uncultured bacterium. RNAcentral describes it as "partial 16S ribosomal RNA". It matches the Rfam family "Bacterial small subunit ribosomal RNA", at positions 355 to 895 of the family's 1533-position model. The record is from RNAcentral.
UGGGGAAUUUUGGACAAUGGGCGCAAGCCUGAUCCAGCCAUGCCGCGUGCGGGAAGAAGGCCUUCGGGUUGUAAACCGCUUUUGUCAGGGAAGAAAUCUUCUGAGUUAAUACCUCGGGAGGAUGACGGUACCUGAAGAAUAAGCACCGGCUAACUACGUGCCAGCAGCCGCGGUAAUACGUAGGGUGCAAGCGUUAAUCGGAAUUACUGGGCGUAAAGCGUGCGCAGGCGGUUUUGUAAGACAGAGGUGAAAUCCCCGGGCUCAACCUGGGAACUGCCUUUGUGACUGCAAGGCUUGAGUGCGGCAGAGGGGGAUGGAAUUCCGCGUGUAGCAGUGAAAUGCGUAGAUAUGCGGAGGAACCGCGAGAGAGAAUCCCCUGGGCCUGCACUGACGCUCAUGCACGAAAGCGUGGGGAGCAAACAGGAUUAGAUACCCUGGUAGUCCACGCCCUAAACGAUGUCAACUGGUUGUUGGGAAGGUUCCUUCUCAGUAACGUAGCUAACGCGUGAAGUUGACCGCCUGGGGAGUACGGCCGCAAGGUU